Molecule: non-coding RNA, 97 nt
Filed under: bovine gut metagenome
Description: SAM riboswitch (S box leader)
Rfam family: SAM riboswitch aptamer (S box leader)
About the family: The SAM riboswitch is found upstream of a number of genes which code for proteins involved in methionine or cysteine biosynthesis in Gram-positive bacteria.
Source: RNAcentral
CCUUAUUGCGAGCGGCUGAGGGAACAGGCCCGAUGAAGCCCGACAACCUGCCUUGCGGCAAGGUGUCAAUUCCUGCGGUGAAAACCGGAAGAUAAGG